AUUGAACGCUGGCGGCAUGCCUUACACAUGCAAGUCGAACGGCAGCACGGGAGCAAUCCUGGUGGCGAGUGGCGAACGGGUGGGUAAUGUAUCGGAACGUACCUUUCAGUGGGGGAUAACGUAGCGAAAGUUACGCUAAUACCGCAUAUUCUGUGAGCAGGAAAGCAGGGGAUCGCAAGACCUUGCGCUGAUUGAGCGGCCGAUAUCAGAUUAGCUAGUUGGUGAGGUAAAGGCUCACCAAGGCGACGAUCUGUAGCGGGUCUGAGAGGAUGAUCCGCCACACUGGAACUGAGACACGGUCCAGACUCCUACGGGAGGCAGCAGUGGGGAAUUUUGGACAAUGGGCGCAAGCCUGAUCCAGCCAUGCCGCGUGAGUGAAGAAGGCCUCGGUUGUAAG
RNAcentral lists this ribosomal RNA (397 nucleotides) under uncultured bacterium. RNAcentral's name for it is "bacterial SSU rRNA". It matches the Rfam family "Bacterial small subunit ribosomal RNA", at positions 30 to 429 of the family's 1533-position model. The record is from RNAcentral.